Molecule: non-coding RNA, 11977 nt
Organism: Chlorocebus sabaeus (green monkey)
Lineage: Eukaryota; Metazoa; Chordata; Mammalia; Primates; Cercopithecidae
Source: RefSeq, a predicted model, not a curated record
GCUGCAUAGUAUUCCAUGUGUGCCCCAUUUUUUUAUCCAGUCUAUCAUUGUUGAGCAUUUGGGUUGGUUCCAAGUCUUUGCUAUUGUAAGUAGGACAGCAUGCUAGCAUUCCACUAGAUAUAUUACCAAUAUUAAAAUGUAAAAUGAUUGGUUUUCCAAAAACUGCAUGACAUCACUUAUAACUGGGAAUUAAACACUGGGUACACAUGGACAUAAAGAAAUAUGGGGAAAAAGAUACUCUGGAUCACUAGAGAGGGAAGAGAGGGAUGGAGGCAAGGUCUGAAAAACUACCUAUUGGGUACUAUGCUCAAUAACACGGUGAUGGGUUUAUUUAUACAUCAAAUCUCAGCUUCACACAAUUUACCUCUGUAGCAAUCCUGCACAUGUACCCAAUUCUAAAAUAAAUUUGAAAAAGAAAAAAAAUAUAUUGGUUUUCACACCAAGGAGCCGAUAGUCCCGGGGUGAGAGGUUUAUGCAUGUACUGCUUUAGAAGAUAGCAACAGCAGGUAAACGAUGGUACGUGAUGUAAACAUAUGCCUGCUCUCAAGAUGUAAAUGAUUAAUAUCCUAACUCAGUGACACAGGUGGUUAAUAUUAAUUCAGAAAAGAAAAAGAUAAGUCUGGAUCGAAAAUUUUAAAGACAACUUCUUUGUAGAAGUUAUAAUCCUGCUGGACACUAGGAAUUGCCUACAUAGAAAACAGAAGGGAGAGGGAAAAAUAAACAGAGGGAACUCGUCCUUCUUGGAGUUUGUACGUAGUUAAAACAGAAUCUUUAUUUUUUCAUUUUCUGCAUACACAUACUUGCCCACUUGUGUAUGAAUAUGGGGUGCGUGUGAGUUUUGUCAGGCCUCUGAGCCAGAGCUCAUCCAUUAUAACCCCUGUGACCUGCACAUAUGCGUCCAGAUGGCCUGCAGGAGCCAAGAAAUCUGGAGCAGCCAAAAAAAAAAAAAAAAAAAAAAAAAACCAACAACAAAAGAAGUGAAACCCCAGUUCCUGCCUUAACUGAUGAACCCAAACUUGUCCAAAACUUUUAGGUGAUGACUUAACUGACAAAAGAGGACACAGUAUGGGUUCAUGUACCUUUGUCUCUACCAGACCUUUCCCAAAUCAGUCAGCGUCUGAAGAAAACGUUCUUUCCCAUCAGACCCCACUCAAUGUCCACCUUAUGACGCUCCACCACGAGGACUUGUUCCCGCCCUGUCCUAACUGAUCAGUGGACCCUGUGACAUCCUUCUCCAGGAUGAUGAGUCUCAUGAUCUCUCCACCAUGUGACCCCCACCUGCUGACAACAGAUAACCACCUUUACCUGUAACUUUCCACGGCCCACCCACCUCUCUACAGCUGCCCCUUUCCUGUCUCCCUUUGCUGACGCUCUGUUCGGACUUGCACCCAAGUGAACAAACAGCCUUGUCGCUCACACAAAGCCUGUUUAGGUGGUCUUCUCUACGGACUCAUGUGACAAGCUUGACUUUCCCUUUUCCAUGCUUUGUUUCCAUUAUGCUUAUGUCUGGAGGAUAUAUUCUAUUUUUAUAAUCUUUCAGGUUUAAAACAAAACACUCAUAAGAUGUGUGCUUUCACAUGAGCACGUUUUCCUCCCGGGUUUAAAUAACUGUGCAGUUCCCCAGAAGAAAAGUACUUUUUAAGAAAAACAAAUAAUUAAUUUGAGGCCUAUUUUAAAACACUCCUAUUAUUCCAAAUGGCGCAGAUAUGCUGAGCGGGGAAGUUGUCCUCACAGAAAUAAAAAAGAAGAAAAACAAAACACCCUUUUGAGCUCACAGUGUCUGACAGGCAUUGUGUUUAAUCCUCACAUCCCAACACGCUGGCAUUUCUCUAGACCCGUGCCUAAAUUCUGUGGCAUACACAUGGGCUAAAGAGAUUUAUGACUCAAAAAAGUUGUUUUAUUUAAUGGCAUGCAUAAAUUCUAAAAGCCUGGAAAUUCAUUAUUUAAUAGCCUCCCCUCUGAUGAAACCCUCUUUUAGGAGAUAUUGAAUAUUUCUUCAAAACAUUAGUUAAUAUAAAACAAGAUGAAAGUAACUAGAUAUCAUCCAGAUAAAUAGGAUGGAUUAUUUUCUUUCUUUCUUUCUAGUAUCAAAAGUUUCAAUAGCUUCUUAGUUUAUCAAAUAUAUGUUGUAUUUUAAAAAGUGCUUCAACUUAAUCAUUAUUUUGAGGAACUGACAUAAGACACGACUCUACUCUUCUCAAAGUUUAUGAUGAUGUUUAUGGGGAUAGCGUGAGAAUGGGCUUUCUAGGCUUUCUUUCUCAGAAUAUCAAUGUAGAAGUGUUUUCCUUUUUGCUAUGGUUUUAUGGGAGCACAGAGGCUUCCUUGCUUAGAACAUACAUCUUUUAAUGAAAGGGAUAUAUCACUUUUCACAUGUCAGUCAUGUCACAAAAAUUACUGCGAGUUGCUAGAACAGUUGCCUAAUUUGAGGUGAGGAAAAUCACCUGUCACCACUGACAGAGAAUAUAAAGUGGCAAGGUCAAAAUUGUACAUUAUACUUAUAAGGCAAACUGCCUAUAUCAUUCUCGAAAAGUUAACAUAUUACUGAAAAUUUAGUGACGAAUUCUUAUUAUUUUGGUCAUAUGAAAGGACAGUUUAAAACGUGUACAAUCAUAACAUUUGAAAGAAAGGACUUGUUUCCCACUCUGAUGACAACGGUCAGAUGACUACGGCAACCUCCAAAGGCAUGUGAAGUAAGAGACUGGAUGUUUCUCAGGCUGCCAGGGAAAUCAGUCAUAACUACACUGGGAAGGUCAGAGUUUUAUGCUUUGAGUUUUUCACUAAUUCAGAAAUCAAAUUGUCACUCUUUUCACCAGAAGUGGAGAUUAUGAAUUCAGCUUUCAGCUAGCACAUGGAGAAGCUUACUGCAGAGAAGAAAAGGAGAACAGAAUGAAAGGUCUAGUUGGGAGGAGGAAGGUUGUGGAAUACGACACUCUUGUAGACAAAGUCACGUCCUGAUUAAGUGAGGCCAGGAGAGGCAGGGCGUAAGAGGAAACGGUGUACCUUCUAUUUACUAAGAGCUCAGGUUCUAAUGUUGAAAAGAAACGGGUUUAACUUCUGCCCAAACUCUUAUCAGACAUGUCACUUUGGGCAGAGUACUUAUUUGAUCUUCAUUUUCUCAUCUACAAAAUGGGUAUUAUGACAAACCUGUUUUGGGAGUUGGGGAAGAAUUAAAUAUGAGGGUAAAACGUUCUGCAUAGUCCUGGUGCGUAAAAUACAUUCAGUAAAUGGUAGGUUUAAUGUUUAUUCUUAAAACUAAACUUAAGGCAUAUUCAAAAAUUAACAAAAUAGUGUUGCUUUUUCAACAAAUAGCACCAGAAGCCUUGAUAUAGUAUACAACAACUUCACUGGAUUACUGUUGAAUCACCAAGAGGAAAUUUGCUUAGGGAACCAAAACAAGGAAACUGUACAAAUAAAACAAAAAUCAAAAGAGAGGGAGAAGAUCAGAAAGGCUAUAGGGCAGUUGUUUUACCUUUUCCAUGAUGUAAGUUUUAUGUCAUAUUUAAAAAUAAAAUCAUAUUAUAAGUUAGUCAAUUAAAAAUAUAUUGGAGAAGACAUAAUAAUUUAAAUAUUUAUAUCCUCUGAAGAAUCUGGCUUUGAAUGAGAUUAGAAGGCAGGGGAUAUCAAAAGAUAUCAUUGAACCUAGAAGAAGAGAAGUUCAAACCAGAGUAAAGGCUCAUCACCAGCUUCUUAGUUAAAGAAAGUGAAGUGUGCUGUUAUUAGAAGCUCAUGCUAAAAUAUCUGUACCAUGUGUAUAUGCAUUUGGUUCAAUGAAUUAAUGGUAAAAAUAAUAGUUUUCAUUAAAAUGAACUUUAAUUCAUUCACAGUAGAUUCUUUCAUUACUUUUAUAAUGUCUCAACUUAGGAAGUUCUUGAUAUAUACCUUCAUUCUUUUUCUCUGAGGUCGGACAAAAAAAAAUAUAUAUGUCCCACUUUAUUUUCAGUAGAAUUUUUAUGACGUUGUUUCAAAAACCUCAAAAUCUAUUGAGAGGCCAAACGUUAUGCAUCAGUAAUUUUUAUAUCUUAGCAUAACUGAAGUUAUGAGCUUCUGCAAUGAAGGAGUAGAGCAUAUAUGUGGGGGACACAAGUGUGGGAAGUAGAGACUUUUCUGACAGAGGAGGCUGGCAGCACUCACAAAGGGAAAUGAAGGCAAAGAGGGAAGGUGAGGGUAUUUUACAAUAACACCAGAAACCAGUCUUGUUACUGUCUUUACUGAUGUUGCAGGAUAAUCUUUUUUGAAAUAGUAUCUGCUGUGUAUUUUAUUCCCCCAAGUUAUAAUUUUCCCAAACUCUCAACCUUCUAAAGUUUGUGCAUACAUUUCAUUGGCGGCAGGAUGGAAGGAGCAUAGAAGAAAAGAAGUCAAAGUGAGCUUAAUUGAUUAAAAUAAGGCUUUGCAUGUUUCCAAUCUGAGGAUCACUUUCACUUGCAAGACGUACUGAGACAAGAGGGGGUUCUGGAUAUUCAGUCUCUACGGAGGUCAACCAAAUAAUAAAUUAUGAUAGAGAACUAGGAAAGAAGGAGCUAAAUUACUGAGAUGAGAGGGGGUUCUGGACGUUCAAUCUCUACAGAGGUCAACCAAAGAAUAAAUUAUGACAGAGAACUAGGGAAGAAGGAGCUAAGUUACUGAGACGAAAGGGGGUUUUCGGAUGUUCCGUCUGUAUGGAGGUCAACCAAAGAGUAAAUUAUGAUAGAGAACUAGGGAAGAAGGUAUGGCAUGAUGUAGGAUGUUGUCAUCACACAAGAGAGAGAAAAUAGUUUUCUACUCUGAGCUGGAGAUGCAGGAGCAAUUCAGAGGAACACUGCUGGGAUUGGGCUGCUGCCUGUCUGCCUGGUAAUAGAGUCAGUGUCUUCCAAUUCCAAGGCCUACAUCAAGGCAGGCAAGUCUGAGUGAGAACUUAAAAUGAGACAAAUCAGGAGAAUCCAAAAUCAUGUGUAGCUUCUGUUCUUUUUUCCAGCUGGGAGUCCAGGGGAAAAUUACUUUGUAAGAAACCCUACAUCUUUACAGAAUUGCCAUCGGCACUGGCACGUAGCCCUGUGUGCGCUCUGGAUAAGCGGUAGUCAUGAUGACCAAAGUAAGGUGGAUGUACAGGUGCAGGCCUCUUGAGGCAUAAAGAGGGCCCUGGAAUGGUGUUUCCAGUUUAUCUGUGGCCAGAAGGUGGCAUGUGGGAAACCUAGAUGAUAGAGUGUCUGCCAAAGUGCUAAAAGGACACAGAACAGAAGGUCCUCGGACCAGGAGAGGAGAGAGGAAGUGAGCAGAUCUGACACAGAAAGACAAAAGCAGGGAUCAUGCACCUGUUACACCAAUAGUGGAUACUAGCAAUAAUCUGAAAACUAUGGAAAUAAGCCACCUCCACAUAUCUUAGCACCAUGGUAUUAAGUAAGUCUUCCCUGUGUUAAGAUGCUGCAGGGGAAAAUAGAAGAGGGAGAAGGGGAAUAAGAUUUGAACUGAUGGAUUUAACUGAAAGACAGACAACAUGCUUUACUCUAGAAACCCAUUGAUAUCUUAAAUUAUCAAGAUCAAGCUUUUUCUUUCCAUUAGUAGUAUGAAUGGGAAGUUGACUAAUUGUAUAGAAAAGAAAAUAAUUUUAAUUAUAAAUAAGAAUAACAAACAUCAUCUCAUUGAAUACACAUUUCCACAAUAAUUCACACAUUUUAGAAACAAAAGGCAUCUCAUUUUUAUUUCAUUAUAUGUCACAGUGCAGACCUUUCUCAGUGGAGUUUAGAUCUGUGUACAUUAUUAUUAUUAUUGACAUCAUUAUUAUUGUUACCUUUUUUUUAGAAAGAGAAGUUGAGAAGAGGAAUACCGUCAUUGCCUCUCACUUAACCACAGCAGCAGGCAGGGGACCCAAAUACUCCAAUCCUACCUGGAAUACAUUCAGGGCAAUGACAUGCUUUCUUUCAAAAGAGCUGUCAACAAUUUUACCUUUCUCAUUCUCUCUUGAACCCAUUUCAGACAGGGUUUUUCCCACCACCACACUACAGAAACUGUUCUUAUCAAGGUCACCAAUGACCUUCAUGCUGUAAAUUCACUGUUAAUUCUCCCACCUCUUCCUACUUGGCCUAUUGGGAAUAAGAGGUGGACCUUUCCUUGAAAUACUUUUUCCAUUUAGCUUUCAGGAUGCUGCACUUUUUGUUGUGCCUCUGCCUCUAACUGCUGCAUCUCAGUAUCUCCAGUUGUUUCUUCUCAUUUCCAUAAUCUGUACAAGUAGAAGUACCCUAGGCUUCAGUCCUAGGAACUCUUAUGUUUUCUCUCCUCCUUCCCUUGGUGAUCACAUCUGGUCUCAUAGAUUUAAAUACCAUCUAUAUGCUAAUCAGAAAUCUACAUAUGCAGCCUAAUCUCUCUCUUGAACUCCAGAAUUUAUAAGUCCAACUAUCUGCUUGAUUUUUCCAGCUGGAUGUCCAAUAGGUGUCUUACAUGUAACAAGUCCAGUUCUGAACUCUCUAUCUUUCCUAUCUAAUCUCUUCCUGCAGCUUGUUCAACUCAGUUGUCAACUAAUUCCUCCCAGUUGUUCAGGCAAAACACUUGGAGACAUCCUUGAUCCCUGUUUCUCUCCGACACCACAUUUAAUCAUCAGGAGAGUCUAUUAUAUAUAUUCAAAAUAUUCAUUAUCUAACCGCUUCCUACUACCUUCAGUUCUACCCACCUUGUCCAAGCCACUGUCAUCUUUCCUGGGUUAUUGUAAUUGUUCGUAAAUGUGGCCUCCACCAGCUCUUGCCUCUCUAUACAUCUCAUGCUGAACCUUAGGCACAGGGCCCCCACUAAAGGUAGGAAUGUUACGUCACUCCUCUGCUCAAAACUUUCUCUUUAAUUUUGCAGUAAAAAUGAGGGCUUGAGUUUGCUAACCUAUUUCCAAUGAUUUGAACAAUCAGGGCCUGCACUCAGUAGACAGUCACUAAAUAUGUGUUGUAUGAGUUAAGAAUGAAGAAAUAAAAUUUCAUAUUAUUAUUCAAAGUAAGAGCUAAGGUCCUUAUGAUGAGCUAUGAGGCUUUCACAUUCCGCACCCUACACCCCCAUUUCACCUCUACCCUCUUUCCUGCUUCUUCCUUAUGGCUAGACAGGGUACUCCCCAAAUCUAACAGGCACACUCUGGCCUUAGCACUAGAAGACUUGCCAUUCCUUUCGUCUGACAUGAUUCUUCACAAGAUAGCUCUAUGACUCUUGUGCUGUCUGUCUUUGGUAAAAGUUUUUAUGAAUCCUUUCCUGACCAUCUUAUCUAAAACUAAUACUCACCUGGUAUUCUCUUUUCUGCUUUAUUUUCUACAUAACAUAACAUUUAUCAUUAUGUAAUGUGCUAUAUGUUUUCCUUAUUUUUAAAUAAAAUCUCCCCAAAUUCUUCAAUAUAAAUGUUGGUGCGUAUUUUUUUUUUUAAUCUCGUUUAUUUAUUUUCUCUUAAUGCCUAGAAAGGUAGUAUCUGGCAUAUAGUAGGCAUUCACAAACUUGUGUUGAUUUAAUGAGUUAAGCCAAAUAAUGUGAAGAAGGCCUGGUUUCGGUCACUGGGGAGCAGCAUAUGGAAAAGAAUAAAUUAGAAAGUUUGCAAUAUGAAAUGGAAUUAAAUAUGCUCAAAUACUACUCCUGACAUUGCCACUAAUGGACUGUAUCAUCUUAAAGUAUUUCUUGUACUUGAAAAAUUUCAAUGGCCUCAUCUUCAGAUAAAAAUUAAGAUAAUCCAUAAGAUCCCUUGCAUGUCUGAUUUUUAAAAAAUAUUAAUGAUAGAUUUUAUAGUCUAUUCUUUGGUCCCAUUUAAGAAAACAGACAUUUGUAUAAUUAUUUAACUCUUAUGUAUUUUUAUCAGUCUGGCUUUUGUGAGGAUUACAUGCAUUAUACCAUUUUUUCAAGCCUUUUUUUCUCCAAAAUGUAAACAAUAACAAAAUAGAAAGUUUAUAAAUUUUGCUGUUAAACUUUCCAAAGUAAUGAUGACAUGAAAUAGAAAAAUAAAAUUCCACCCACACACACAGAGCUGAAAUUUAUCAGAAAAAAAUAUAUAAAGCAAUUUCCUUUUCCAGGCAUUUUUCUCCCAGCUGGUCUAACAACAUACAUCAUUGUGGCUUCUAAAUUUUAAUUUACAAGGAACAAAUAUGGUAGUUUUAUAGGCUUCUGGCCAUUGGAAAAUCACUGAUUGCAAGGCCUGUCUCCUCAGAAACAAAUCAAAAGGUGACAUAUUCUGUUAACUUGCCAUUAUACAUUCAUAACAUCAUCUUUCAAUUCGGUGUCAUAAAGAAUUUAUGUAGGACAUUAAUCAUGCAAGACCACUAAAUUGUUCUCAUUUCAGUGAUAAUUGUUUACUCUUAUAAAUGGUUUGUGUUGAGUUGCAACAAUUCAGCUGAAUAAAAUAUAUCUUUACCAGCCUGCAUUGGGAAACAAAAUUAACGUAUAGAUAGUGGAACCAAACUGAUUAUAUAAUACGAUUAUUAGAAAAAACUAAAAUUGUAUAGAGCUCUUCUCUUUUCAAUGACAAGAGCCAAUGACAUUAGGAUAAUUCUGUCACCUUCAAUAAAAUGAAUCUUGAAAAACAAAAUGAAACAAAACAACAACAUCAUGUAGAAUCAACAAACAUGUAAAAACAAACCCUGUCUAAUAUCUAUAUGACAUUGUUGACCCUGAAAUCAGGUAAAAUGUCUUGUAAAGGAAACAUAAUGCACCUUGCUAGUCAAUGAAGCUAAACUUAAUUAAAGGGGUGUCAAUCAUUUGCUGGGAACAACAGAAAACAAAACCUACCGUUAAAUUUAUUCAGUAUGGCCUUGUGAAAUGUGCAUGAGAACUCUAAGUCUUAUGAUCUGACUGUUAACCCUGCCCCACUAUGCUUCUGUAACCUUAAGAUUGAUGCCCAACCUUCUCUUGUCUCAGUUUUCUCAUCUGUAAAAUGAACAAGUUAGACUCCCUCAUCCUGUAGGUUUGUCCUAAUGUCAACAUUUUAUAAGUCUAUGUGGGAACUCAGCUAAUCAAGACCUGUUUUUUCCUUUAAAGCAAUGAUUUGAAUGACUUGUCAUCUGUUUUUAGAUUUCUCCACUGCCUACUGAAUAAAAUAAGAAUAGGAUCAAUUUGAGACAGCCCUUUCAGCCCAAGGGUGCCAUAACUAAUGGCACUGUCUGUUUCUGCUUUCUAAAUGGAAUCCUACUAUAUACAUUUUUUCUGCGGUAAAGUGUCUACUUUAUGAGCAUAAUAAAUAGCAAUCGCACUUUAAUGGCAACUUUAGCUGUGACCAUUAUGGCACAAUUUAAGUGCUUAAAAACACUAAUGGGAGUGAUACAAUGUUAAUUAUACUAUGACUAUGAAGGCUGCUGUACACAAGAACUCCUGCAAAAUUAAGUAAAACCCUGGUUAAUUCUAAUUACAGUCUGUCUAGAGGAGAUAAGAGAAAUUAAGCACCUCUUUUUUGAGUGCAUUCCUAAUAUAACAGCACAAUUUGGCCACAUUGGUUGAGAAAACAUUUCAAGUGACUCAGAAAGUAGGAUUCUGAAAUAAAAGAAUUUUUUUCCGUUUAAAUAAGAAAGGAAGAAAGAUGAAUUACUUAUACAGAAAAUGCAUCUUUACCUGAAACAAUGCUUACGUUCUCGCCUUAAAGCCUAAGGUAACCCACUUUUUUUUUUUUUUUUUUUUUUUUUGAGACGGAGGUGUAACCCACUUUUAAAGAGCUCAUUCAUUAAUCUGUCAGAAACAAAACAAUAUCAUAGAGGUUUUCCUUAUUUUAAAAUGUGUUUUAUACACUAUAUAGAAGAAAUAUAUUUAAAAAACAAAACCACGAAGAUCAUCCUUCAUCUUAUCAUCUAUGGAAAAAUUGAAAAACAAUUUUUCAAUAUUUAUUUCAAUUAUUUUUGAUUCUUUCCAAAAUGUCUUGUCACUUCCUCUCUUUCCUCUUUUUCUUUCUACCAUUUAUUGAAUGCCUUCUAUGUACUGGAAGCUCUAUGUACUAGAGCUAGAUAUUUUUAAAAAUGGGUAAAACAAUUUUGCUGCCCUUAAGGGGUUUAGAGUCUAACAGAGAAAAACAAACUUGUAAAAGCAAAACAACGGUUUUGUUUACACCUCAGUAUCUGUUAUUAGACACACAUGUCUCUUUCUUUGUCUUCCAGUGUAAUCUUUUUCCUUUGAAUUCCCUUGCUUUCCUUAUUAUAAAUUGCUUUGCAUAGAUCUCUAACUCAUGGGAUCUUUAUGAAUCCAAAGUGAGGAGAAGAAAUCAAUUAUCUGAUUUAUCUGAUUUUAUUAUUAUCAUUAUUUUAGAAAUAAGAGGGUCAUAGGUUUUUAAGAAAAUCCCCUGCUGGAAAGCCUGACACAUUUCAAAGUGCUACCAUUUGAAAAGUGAGGGAACAACAUUUCAUAAAUAAUGAAAACAAUUGUCUGGCAGUCUACAAUUUCCAAUACAUACAUUAUUUUAAUGGAUCAAAAACCAAACACAGUAGUAUAAGAGAAAUCAACGCAUUUUUAAUGAAUAAAAAUGAUAACUGAUGGAAAUCAUUGAAUUCCACUGAAAAAUGUCCCAUAAUCUCUAAAUUAUAGGUAUUAGGAGAGUAACCCAAACCAUUAGAGUAAGUAUCUGGGUACUUAAAAAUUGUCUCCCUCACCUUAAAGCAUCUAUUAUCUAUCUAUAAGGGAUCUUCUAAUUUGUCAGUGUAUCUAGAUUUAAGUGGCCCGUAGGGUAUAUAUCAAACACCUGCCUUGGAAGGUUAUUUCUCAUUUUAGCAGUGCCACUUUUACAGCAUUAGAGUAGCUUCAAUGACAUUUAAUCUGCACUCCCUUUGAGCAAUAAUCAUAUCAUUACUCUUUAGCAAAUGUUUCCAAAUAGAGAAUAUUUUGUACACUCUUAUAAUAUAUGGAGAUCCUCAGCCUCACCUGCUGCCCAGUCAAAUGAAACAUAAACAGGAUUUGUAUGUAAAUUCACAAGCUCAUUAACAUCUGUUAUGGUCAUUUUCUAAAAUUUGUGUUGCUUAUGUAAUGAUUACAUCAUUGGAAUCAUUCAUCUUAUAUUUUCAGCCUCUUCCGUACUGACUACAGCAUUUACUAUUGAGCAUUGCUAGCAUUUCUCACGGAGCUUGCUUAUCCCUCUAUUAGGCUGUUGUUCAUUAGGAGCCUUGUUCCCAUCACCAGAAAAGAGAUAUAAACAGUAUUAGUAAGACUUCGACCUUGGACAAAACUUUAUUUUCUUCAGAUUUUUCUCUGAUAUGUGAAGACACUACACACACACACACACACACACACACACAGAGCAUAUUCACUUACCACUUCCUCCCCAUCUUUAUUCACUUGAAAUCAUUGUUUUCCAGAUUGUUUCUUCCUGUUAAUAAACAAUUAUUUUUGCCAUUUGCCUGAUUUUUUUCCCGUAUGAAAAUACAACAUUGGAAUCAUUCAUCUUAUAUUUUCAGCCUUUUCCUUAAUAACUACAGCAUUUACUAUUGAGCAUUGCCAGCAUUUCUCACGGAGCUUGCUUAUCCCUCUCCUAGGCUGUUAUUCAGUAGGAGCCUUCUUCCCAUCACCGGAAAAGAGAUAUAAAAAUAAACAACGUAAAGAAAGUAUGAAGACUGAAAGAAAUGUGCGGAGAUAAUGACAGAAUGUGGAAGCAGUACAUCUGGUGUGUUGGAGAGUGAAAAACCACAGGAAUGAGCUCUAUACAGAAGUGGAAUGUGGUAUCAGAGAAGCUUGAGAUGCAGCUGUGGAGAUGGCAGGUGGCUGACACGAACUCUCUGUGUGACCUUGGGCUAGCCACUAAGUUUAUCUAGUACUAAGUUUCUUGUUUCAUGUCUAAAACAAAGGGUUUAGUACCCUCAAAAGGUAUUUCCAGAGGAAGGUACAAAGGAAAAGGGCAGAAAAUUCAAGACAUGUCCAAGUAACAGAAGAAAGGCAAAAAUGAGACCAAAUUAAAGACAGAAUGGGAAAAGUCGGUUAAAAGCCUGGACUUUAUUCUGUAAGCGACUAGGCAUCAUCAAAAAUCCAUCCUACAAACAAAAGUAUUAAUCAUUUGGUCUUCUCCUCUAGACAGGCAUAUCACACA